Molecule: ribosomal RNA, 452 nt
Filed under: fungal sp. TZ-2015b
Lineage: Eukaryota; Fungi
Description: eukaryotic LSU rRNA
Rfam family: 5.8S ribosomal RNA (bases 107-260)
Source: RNAcentral
CUGAUGCUAGCUCUCUUCGCAAGAAGAGGGUUCCAUACACACCGUGAACUGUGGCUUCGGCCAUCACAAACUGUUAGUAAUGAAUGUAAUAUCAUAACAAAAACAAAACUUUUAACAACGGAUCUCUUGGCUCUCGCAUCGAUGAAGAACGCAGCGAAAUGCGAUAAGUAAUGUGAAUUGCAGAAUUCAGUGAAUCAUCGAAUCUUUGAACGCACCUUGCGCCCUUUGGUAUUCCGAAGGGCAUGCCUGUUUGAGUGUCAUGAAACCUCACCCCACUUGGGUUUUUGCCUGAGCGGUGGUGUAUUGGGUGUUGCCUUGCUAAAGGCUCGCCUUAAAGACAUAAGCACCUUGGAUGUAAUACGUUUCAUCCUUCUGGGUGGCUGAUAACCCCACAUAUUCAUGAUCUGGCCUCAAAUCAGGUAGGGCUACCCGCUGAACUUAAGCAUAUCAAA